This 16-nucleotide small RNA is filed under the name Arabidopsis thaliana (thale cress). RNAcentral's name for it is "ATSL122410". The record is from RNAcentral. Lineage: Eukaryota; Viridiplantae; Streptophyta; Magnoliopsida; Brassicales; Brassicaceae.
GAAGAAGAGAGUGAAG